RNAcentral lists this long non-coding RNA (228 nucleotides) under Lathyrus oleraceus (garden pea). RNAcentral's name for it is "Pisum sativum (pea) long non-coding RNA (PSAT_LNC029168)". Lineage: Eukaryota; Viridiplantae; Streptophyta; Magnoliopsida; Fabales; Fabaceae. The record is from RNAcentral.
UCAAGUUUGCUGGAUUGAUGAAAACACUUAGUGUAUUACCCCAAUGUUUUGAAGGUUUAGUGGAGGAGUUUGUGGUGAAUAUCCCAGAGGAUAUUUUUGACAAGAAUAACAAAGAAUUCUGCAAGGUCUUUGUGAGAAGAAGGUGUGUAAGGUUCUCCUCAACUAUAAUGAAUAAGUUCCUAGGGAGAGGAACAGAAGGAGUUGUUGAGUUAGAAGCCACAGACAAUG